GGACUGUUAGUCCAGUAGCUCAGUCAGCAGAGUAUGAUGCUCUUAAUCUCAGGGUUGUGGGUUCAAGCCCCACAUUGGCCA
Non-coding RNA from Podarcis lilfordi (Lilford's wall lizard), 81 nucleotides. The record is from the annotation of a GenBank genome assembly. Lineage: Eukaryota; Metazoa; Chordata; Lepidosauria; Squamata; Lacertidae.